RNAcentral lists this unclassified non-coding RNA (1630 nucleotides) under uncultured fungus. RNAcentral's name for it is "sequence contains 18S rRNA gene, ITS1, 5.8S rRNA gene, ITS2, 28S rRNA gene". The stretch from base 535 to 1630 matches the Rfam family "Eukaryotic large subunit ribosomal RNA", at positions 1 to 961 of the family's 3401-position model. Lineage: Eukaryota; Fungi. The record is from RNAcentral.
GGAAGGAUCAUUAACAAAUUUACCCUAUGGUUAAAUCAUUGUGCACAGUGUGUGUGGUAGUGUGAAAGCGCUCUGCACACAAGUAACGAGAAUGUAGUGGGCGUUAUACGUAAAAUGUGAUAAAACUUUUAACAAUGGAUCUCUUGGCUCUCGCAACGAUGAAGAACGCAGUGAAUUGCGAUAACUAGUGUGAAUUGCAUUACCUUGUGAAUCAUCGAGUCUUUGAACGCACCUUGCACUGACUGGCCCUCCAGUCAGUAUACCUGUUUGAGUAUCAUGUUAUCCCUAUUAACCGAUGAGGUUAAUGAUGUGAGCCGCUUAUAGCGUAGUGCUGUGUGUGUAUACGCAAGUGUACGCUUACUUCACUGUGUUGUAAUGGCUUUAAAUGAAUGACUUUGAGGUAGGCACUAACAGCGCAUUCUACACCUACGAGCAAGAGCAUUAUGCCAGGCUUUGAUGUAGACUGUGAUACCAAUGCUUAACCAUUAAACCAUCGUCACAUGAUGAACCGUACGGUCCAUCAACAUAUAUCCAGGAUCUCAAAUCAGGCAAGAUUACCCGCUGAACUUAAGCAUAUCAGUAAGCGGAGGAAAAGAAACUAACUAGGAUUCCCUCAGUAACGGCGAGUGAAGCGGGAACAGCUCAAAUUUGGAAUCGAGGCGGCUUCCGCUUCGAAUUGUAAGUAAUAGGGCCGUAGUCGGUAGGCGUCGUCUUGACACAAGUCUGCUGGAACGCAGCAUCACAGAGGGUGACAAUCCCGUCGGUAGUCUUGACUGGCGCUUGCCAAUGAUGCGGCUUCAACGAGUCGGGUUGUUUGGGAAUGCAGCCCAAAAUGGGUGGUAUACUCCAUCUAAAGCUAAAUACAGGCGAGAGACCGAUAGCGAACAAGUACCGUGAGGGAAAGAUGAAAAGAACUUUGGAAAGAGAGUUAAAAGUGCGUGAAAUUGUUAAAAGGGAAGCGAUUGACGACAGUAAUGGGUUGUGGGUGAUGGUGUGGACUAAGUGUUGUGAGCGAGUGCAGCAAUGUGCCGAAUACAGCGCUUAAUGUACAUCCGCUCACCACAAGCCAUGUCAGCAUCAGUUGGGCGAGGCUGGACAGUGCGCAGGCAAGGUAGUGCCAUUCUCGGAUGGCAAACUUAUAGGCCGGCAGCACAGCAGCCUCCUCGACUGAGGCCAGCAGCACUAUACAGGCAGGCAGACGGAAUGACGAGUGGGGAUGCCGACUACACAUUACUAUGAGUACCGGUCCCCAUUUGCCAUUACCAUUUACCCUACACUGCAGUGCUUAGGAUGCUGACGAAAUGGCGUUAACCGACCCGUCUUGAAACACGGACCAAGGAGUCUAACAUGAGUGCGAGUAAAUGAGUGGCAAACUCACUUGCGCAAUAAACGUGAACAGGAGGGACUGCGCGCAAGCGGCAGGCACCUUCGACCGAUCAGGAUACACUGUUGAAAGAUUUGAGUAAGAGCAUUCAUGUUGGGACCCGAAAGAUGGUGAACUAUGCCUGAGUAGGAUGAAGCCAGAGGAAACUCUGGUGGAGGUCCGUAGCGGUUCUGACGUGCAAAUCGAUCGUCAAACUUGGGUAUAGGGGCGAAAGACUAAUCGAACCAUCUAGUAGCUGGUUCCCUC